This 524-nucleotide ribosomal RNA is filed under the name uncultured bacterium. Its description in RNAcentral is "bacterial SSU rRNA". It matches the Rfam family "Bacterial small subunit ribosomal RNA", at positions 356 to 899 of the family's 1533-position model. The record is from RNAcentral.
UGGGAAUAUUGCACAAUGGCGCAAGCCUGAUGCAGCAAUGCCGCGUGAGUGAAGACGGCCUUAGGGUUGUAAAACUCUUUCGCUAGGGAAGAUAAUGACGGUACCUAGUAAAGAAGUCCCGGCUAACUCCGUGCCAGCAGCCGCGGUAAUACGGAGGGACUAGCGUUGUUCGGAAUUACUGGGCGUAAGAGUUCGUAGGCGGACUAGCAAGUUAGAGGUGAAAUCCCAGGGCUCAAACCUUGGAACUGCCUUUAAAAGCUGCUAGUCUAGAGACCGGAAGAGGUUAGGGGAAUACCUAGUGUAGAGGUGAAAUUCGUAGAUAUUAGGUGGAACACCAGUGGCGAAGGCGCCUAACUGGUCCGGUACUGACGCUGAGGAACGAAAGCGUGGGGAGCAAACAGGAUUAGAUACCCUGGUAGUCCACGCCGUAAACGAUGAGUGCUAGAUGUUGGGAUUUUCGGAUUUCCAGUGUCGCAGCUAACGCAUUAAGCACUCCGCCUGGGGAGUACGGCCGCAGGUUAAAA